This is a long non-coding RNA of Nycticebus coucang (slow loris), 2264 nucleotides long. RefSeq lists it as uncharacterized. Lineage: Eukaryota; Metazoa; Chordata; Mammalia; Primates; Lorisidae. The record is from RefSeq and is a predicted model, not a curated record. The transcript is spliced from 3 exons.
AGAGGAGGGGGAUUGUGCCAUCACGAGUGACGGACAAGGAGUGUAUGAGCGUGUGCGUGAGGGGCCUGGACGCAGGGCUAGGAGGGCGUGUGGAUACUGAGCGCGCUUUGCUGUGGCUGUUUGAAUAUCACUGUGCUGGUGGCCUUCGGCUCCUGCUGCUUCCUUGGUCUUCUCUCAGCCAUAGGGGCUGAGCAGAGAUAAGGCCCCACUAGGGAGGUCAGAUAUUGAGCCUAGGAUUGAAGCUUUCAGCAGGAAGUCACGGGCCUGGACUUGGAUGCGGAUCUGAGAGCUGAAAGUGCCCCCAGGGUCCUCCAGGAGGGUAGCCACACGUGGAGAACCACAGUGUCAUAAGAGCUCUGUCCCCAGGAGCCAGCUGAUAACGCUGAUCGAUUCCUCCUCCUUUUACUUCCUCUUCAUUUUGUGUCAAGUGAGAGAAGGUGUGGCCAUGGAAGGUGCUUUCAGACUUAGUUUGCACUCCUAGAAAAUCCUGGAGUUUCGCGCUUACCAUAUCCUUUCUUAGUUGUACUGUGAUCCAAAGGAAGGACCUAGAAGAGAAUGAGAGCAUCAUUACUGCACACCUAAAAGUCAAGGGGAUCAGUGACGUUGAGGGAUGUGGCCAUCAACUUCUCUCAGGAGGAGCUGGACCCAGCACAAAGGAACUUAUACAGGGAUUCAAUGUUAGAGAACUACAGUAACUUGGUCUCAGUGGGUUGCAAGCCCAAACUUCACAAGUUCUUCGGCUAUGAUCUAAAGUUGCUGCUGGCAUAGCGAGGGCACAAGGGAGCCUAGAUGCCAAGCAUCAGAAUGUUAUACUUGUUGAAGAUUUUUUUCAUAAAAUUUUUUGUCUUUUAUUUAUGUACUUGUGUCGUUGAGCUCGCGCUUCUACUCCUGGUCACAGAGACAGCACUCGGCGGAAGUGGGUGCCCCAUAGACACCUCCCACCCAGCCAAGGGGAGAGCCUGGCGGGAGCUACGCCGCCCCGUGCUGCGCAGUCGCUUUUCGGACGUCCUGGUGUCCUGGUGGUGCUGGUGCUUUUUUAUUCUUAGGAAGGCUUUUCACAAAACUGCUUGAUGACUGCCACCUGACUGAAAGUAUUCUAAGACGCUGUUAACAGUGGUAAGAUAUACCUUGAUUUGAAAGAUGGGAAAAAUUGUGCUCAAUGUUAAGCUUUGAGGAAGUCAUCAUAUCCAAUUUAAGCCACACUUUACUUAAAGCUAAGAAAAACCAAGAAAUUGGAUCUUGACAAUACUUGGACUAAUUAAGUUCUUUCCCAUCAUUUAUCUGAAUUAUUAGAUCAAUCCCUAGAUAGUCCAGGUAAAUAAAUAAAUCAUUCUGCUUAGUUCUUUUACUAUGCUUUGAGUAAGUAUUCUGAUCAUUUAGAAGUUCUGCAGUUGGGUGGCACCUGUGGCUCAGUGGGUAGGGCGCCAGCCCCAUAUACCGAGGGUGACGGGUUCAAACCCGGCCCUGGCCAAACUGCAACCAAAAAAAUAGGCUUGUGGUGGGCACCUGUAGUCCCAGCCACUCGGGAGACUGAGGCAAGAGAAUCGCCUAAGUCCAGGAGUUGGAGGUUGCUGUGAGCUGUGACGCCAGGGCGACAAAGUGAGACUCUGUCUCUACAAAAAAAAAAAAAAAAAAAAGAAUUUCUGCAGUUAUCUUCAAAAUGAAAUUCACUUACAUUUUUAGCUUUUAAGAGCAAUCUUCAUCUAUUGCGUUAUGAAGAUUAUAUGAUCGGUGUGGAGAGAGGUAGCAAAAUUUUGAUGUUUACCUCCUCAAAUUUUUUGGUAAGGCUGGGUGAGGCAGCUCAUGCCUGUCCUCUGAGCACUUUGAGAGGUUGAAGGGGGAGGAUUGCUUGAGACCAGGAGUUUUAGGUUGACAUUGAACUAUGGUGACACCACUGUACUCUAGCCUGGGCAACAGAGCAGAACCUUGUCUGCAAAAAAAAUCACUUUAUUUUUAAUUUUUAUUUAUUUAUUUUUUGAAACAGUUUCUGUCGCCCUGCAUAGAGCUCAUGAUGUCAUGCAACCUCAAACUCUUGAACUCAAGAGAUCCUCCUGCCUCAGCCUUCUGAGUACCUGGGACUACAGGUGCCCACCACCACACCUGACUAGUUUUUCUAUUUUUAGUACAGAUGAGGUCUCAAACUGAAAUCAGUCCACCCACUCUGGCCUAGGAUCAUAGGUGUGAGCCACCAUGCCUGGCCACUGUUAUUGUUUUGUUUUGUUUUGUUUUUUAAUUGAAAUACUGUCAAACAUUAAGCAUUGUUC